Molecule: ribosomal RNA, 612 nt
Filed under: uncultured bacterium
Lineage: Bacteria
Description: bacterial SSU rRNA
Rfam family: Bacterial small subunit ribosomal RNA
Source: RNAcentral
CUGCGGCGGAUUAGCUAGUUGGUGGGGUAACGGCCUACCAAGGCGAUGAUCCGUAGGGGGCGUGAGAGCGUGGCCCCCCACACUGGCACUGAGACACGGGCCAGACUCCUACGGGAGGCAGCAGUGAGGAAUAUUGCACAAUGGGCGCAAGCCUGAUGCAGCAACGCCGCGUGAGGGACGAAGGCCUUCGGGUCGUAAACCUCUUUUCUGGGGGACGAGUAAGGACGGUACCUCAGGAAUAAGUCUCGGCUAACUACGUGCCAGCAGCCGCGGUAAAACGUAGGAGGCGAGCGUUAUCCGGAUUUACUGGGCGUAAAGCGUACGCAGGUGGCUUCGUGAGUCGGACAUGAAAGCUCCUGGCUUAACUGGGAGAGGCUGUUCGAUACUGCGGGGCUUGAGGUUGGGAGAGGGACGCGGAAUUCCCGGUGUAGUGGUGGAAUGCGUAGAUAUCGGGAGGAACACCAGUGGCGCAAGCGGCGUCCUGGCCCACACCUGACGCUGAGGUGCGAAAGCGUGGGUAGCAAACAGGAUUAGAUACCCUGGUAGUCCACGCUGUAAACGAUGUCAACUGGGUGUCGGUAGUUUUACACUAUCGGUGCCGAAGCCAACGCG